This 253-nucleotide ribosomal RNA is filed under the name uncultured bacterium. RNAcentral describes it as "partial 16S ribosomal RNA". It matches the Rfam family "Bacterial small subunit ribosomal RNA", at positions 524 to 776 of the family's 1533-position model. The record is from RNAcentral.
UACGGGGGGGGCAAGCGUUGUUCGGAAUUACUGGGCGUAAAGGGCUCGUAGGUGGCCAACUAAGUCAGACGUGAAAUCCCUCGGCUUAACCGGGGAACUGCGUCUGGUACUGGAUGGCUUGAGUUUGGGAGAGGGACGCGGAGUUCCAGGUGUAGCGGUGAAAUGCGUAGAUAUCUGGAGGAACACCGGUGGCGAAGGCGGCGUCCUGGACCAACACUGACACUGAGGAGCGAAAGCCAGGGGAGCAAACGGG